RNAcentral lists this long non-coding RNA (2697 nucleotides) under Xyrichtys novacula (pearly razorfish). Lineage: Eukaryota; Metazoa; Chordata; Actinopteri; Labriformes; Labridae. The record is from RNAcentral.
UUGGGGUGGGUGUCUGAAUCUGAAAUGUACAAUUUGAGAUAACAAGAGGUGCUCCAUCACAAGUCACGCAGCGGUUCAGUUUUAGGCCACUGUGUCUCAGUGAUAUUGUUUGUUGUUGGGACUUUUACUUCUGAUUUGUUUAAAAAAUGAAACUAAAUCUUAACAAAGGCUUUCAUUUAUCCUUUUAUCCUCUUCACUUAAACAACAACAGUCUUGUGAUUUGUAGCCCAAAGAUAAUGAUCAAUUCUAUGUCAUAUUUUAGGAGCUAACAAAUGCACCUCUUCAUUAAACCUCUGCCUUGGAGAUAUUGUAUCAGAGUGGAAGUGGAGCAGAUCUAGCUUGGCACUAUGAGCCUCAUCCAUCAGCGCUGUGGGUGUAGAGUAGACCUGAAGGCACCGUGGAGCCAUUACAAUAUCAAAUGGCACGGUGAGCUGCACCUGGUUGGCACACUUUUGGAAGUCGAGUGGUGCCAAAAAUGUUUUUAUAAUUAUCUCAGAGAGGAAAAAGUUAGACUUUACUCUGACUGAUGAUGCUUUACAUCCAUCAGUAAGAGAAAGUGGGACUUGUUCUUUUUCUGUCCUCCACCACUUUCCUGCCCAGUAUUUUGGCUGUAGUAUAAAAAAGCCUUCUUGGCUAAUUACAUAUGGAACAGGAUCACUUUACCUCUACACUAUUCUUGUCACUGCCAACCUCACUGUUACAAUCUCCAUUAAAGCGGCUGGGUCAAUUUCCACCCUCUACAGUUUGAUUGCUAAUGCAUCUCCUGUUUCUCCUGCCCCAUCAUCCGGGCUUUCCUAUCCAUGCCCCCUCACCCCUCCACCUUCCACCCCUCCCGGUGUCCAUCUCUCUCCUUAAAUCUUUGCCUUUCCUUCCUCAUUUAAUCUGCCCUCCCUCCUGUGUCGCCUUUUGUUUUGUAAUGAAAAACCUCUUUGUCGCCCAAGGUGCUUGAGUUAAUAGCCGUGUGUAGACGACUUGUCGACAGUGAUGGAGGUCCCUGACAGGACAACAAAAGCCUUUGGGUGUUUGAUUCACAUGUGAACUGUGUAGACCGUUAUUCAAUUCCUGCUUAAGUAUUAAUAAAGGCUUUACAAGCGGGGGGAGCUUGCACGGUACAAGUGUGCGCUUGCGUUUCUUGGGUGUGUGUGCGUGCAGGAGUUAAUUUAUGGGCUGCUCAUUUUUCCUGUCAUGAUCAUUACAAGAGAGGGAACAGUAAAGACUUUGGUAACUUAGACUGUGUUAUGCAACUCAGAGGAAGCUCAGGGGAACCAAGACCACAGUGCAAUGACAGCCCCUCAAGGGUUCAGAUGAGCGGUGGAUAAAGUCUGCAGAGACAAGCAGCUGGUUUACUAUAUACAGUGCAGAAUGGUGAGUUUGAGUUCAUAUAUUUAAGAUUAUAUGUCUUUUACCUGCAUUCCUUUUCAAAGUUAAGUCUUGAAGAGAUUGUUUUUAUAAGGCUUUUACAAUGAUGGAAACUUAUUGCAACUUUUUUAUGGGGUAAUGCUCAUAAAACUUAAAACAAGGUACUGUAUAUGCUGUUCAAUGAAGGUGCUCUGUGCUGAAAAUAACAAAAUAAUAUAAAACUAAGAUGAUCACUAACAUAGUUAUUUAAGGUUUAUUUAGAUAAUUCUGAAUUAGGACUUAGGACAGUUUUUUACCUCAUGGUUAUCAUGUACAGAAGAUCUUGCAAUAACAAUAUAUCAUGAUAGUUAUGAAAAAUUUGAAGAUAAAACAACACAAUCAGUCAAAUUCAGGUAAGAAAGAGUGGAGCAAAAUGUUACUUAACUUUACUAAUACAUGCAACUUACAUGUUGUCUUUCAUUUUUGAUAAUGUACAAGUCUAUGAUUCAUCCACAUCACCAGCCCCUUGACCGAAACCUUUGAGGAGGAGACAUUGCCUCAUGUAGCAAUUGUUUGUCGUGCUUUUAUUUGAACAUUUUUUGUUAGUCUGCAGUUACAGUUUCUUUAUUUUCUGAAUGUUCAAAUCAUGUUUUUAUUUCGAAUUAUUCUAAUGAUGGUAGGUUUGAAGUUACAGAACUAAAUGAAAACUGUUAAGAAAUAAACAGAAAGUUUAGAUGUACAACUGAUAAUUAGCCUGAGAGGAACAACUUUUAUCAUUGAUCUUUGAUUUACAAUAAUCCUAAAAUGUUUGUUUUAAAAUUGCCCAAUCAUCUCUCAUUGAGCUUUAGCUAGGUCUUUAGCAGCAACGUUUUCUUCGCCUCUCCCCAUUUAAAGACGUGCGGCAACCAGAGUGAGGACCGCUACUAUGAAUAACCAACUGCAUGUUUUUAGCAUGAUAGCACCACUUUACUUGUUGUCGAUACCCGUCAAUAGAGCCCGAUAGUGAAUUUAAAAUCAUUUAAAAGAAUACCAAACAUCUUUUAGUUCCUGCUUUUGGAAAACUCAGCAUUUACACAAAUCUUUAAAACUAAACCAUAAAAACAACAAGUUUAAAUAUUUUACUCACUUUACUAUCACUGGUGGUCUUUGAGUUUGACCUGUAACCCAAUGAGCCUUAGCAUGAAACCAUCUGAGUUAAAGUAGAACUGUUUGUAUGUGAAAGGUACAAGUAUUGGAGGAAAAUGUCAGAUACUGUAUAUUGUGGACUAAAGUUUUUACAGCCAAAACUGCAUGUUGUAAAAGAUUGAGCAAAUCUGCUGAAGCUGUAUGCUGAAAAAUCUAAACGACUUCAGGAAAUUU